GGGGGUGUAGCUCAGUGGUAGAAUGCACGCUUCAAAUGUGUGAAGUCCUGGGUUCAAUCCCCGGCAUCUCCA
Non-coding RNA from Tachyglossus aculeatus (Australian echidna), 72 nucleotides. The record is from the annotation of a RefSeq genome assembly. Lineage: Eukaryota; Metazoa; Chordata; Mammalia; Monotremata; Tachyglossidae.